Molecule: ribosomal RNA, 455 nt
Filed under: uncultured bacterium
Lineage: Bacteria
Description: bacterial SSU rRNA
Rfam family: Bacterial small subunit ribosomal RNA
Source: RNAcentral
AGGCAGCAGUGGGGAAUUUUGGACAAUGGGCGCAAGCCUGAUCCAGCCAUGCCGCGUGCGGGAAGAAGGCCUUCGGGUUGUAAACCGCUUUUGUCAGGGAAGAAAGGCUCCGGGCUAAUACCNNGGAGUCAUGACGGUACCUGAAGAAUAAGCGCCGGCUAACUACGUGCCAGCAGCCGCGGUAAUACGUAGGGUGCAAGCGUUGUCCGGAAUUAUUGGGCGUAAAGAGCUUGUAGGCGGUUUGUCGCGUCUGCUGUGAAAUUUCGGGGCUCAACCCCGAACUUGCAGUGGGUACGGGCAGACUAGAGUGUGGUAGGGGAGACUGGAAUUCCUGGUGUAGCGGUGAAAUGCGCAGAUAUCAGGAGGAACACCGAUGGCGAAGGCAGGUCUCUGGGCCACUACUGACGCUGAGAAGCGAAAGCAUGGGGAGCGAACAGGAUUAGAUACCCUGGUAG